Non-coding RNA from Leptonychotes weddellii (Weddell seal), 2186 nucleotides. NCBI's taxonomy places the organism in Eukaryota, Metazoa, Chordata, Mammalia, Carnivora, Phocidae. The record is from RefSeq and is a predicted model, not a curated record.
AACCCCAAGAUCAAGAGUUGAAUGCUCUACCAACUGAGCCAACCCGGCAGCUUUGGUUGGGAGGGAUUUACCCCUAGGGCAAGGAGCAGUUCUUAGGGUUGAGGGUUUAGAAUAGUGGUUGUCAACUGGGGAUUAUUUUUCCCCACUUCCUUCCCCCAGAGAACAUUUAGCAGUGUCUGAAGACAUUGUGGUUGUUGCAACACAGGGUCGUGCUACAGGCAUCUACUGGGUAGAGGCAAGCGAUACUGUUAAGCAUCCUACAAUCAUAGUAGGAUAAUCCCCACACGACAAAGAAUUACUUCCCCCAAAUGUCAAUAAUGCCAAUGUUGAGAAACUCCGAUUUUGAGAAUGUCUGUCAUUGGAAGAAUCAUCAGGUAAAAGGAAGAGGAACCCAAAUAUAGGAAUAGAGGGAGAUGAAUGGAGAUGAAUACUGGAAGGUAGUUACCAUGGACCAUUAAUUAGGGAAACUGAUAAUGAACCAAUGUGAUUGGCAGUUAACUGUGGUUCUGAAUAUAAAUAAUGGACUCACAUGAAUUCUUACCUAUUUGCUACUUCUAGAUGUGUAAAUAUGAACAAGUUAAAUUUAACUUCUCUUGAGCCUUAGUCUUCUCAUCUCUAAAGUGAGGAUAACCAGAGUACCCUCCCUUACAGAACUGUUGCAUAGACUCAGCUAAACAGUAAAGUGCUUAGUACUUACUGUGUCUUGGUUAUGUAAAUAUAAGUGGUUUUGGUGGGAAGGAUUGCUUUCCUGGGGAGGGGAGGUUAACUUAAUGCUCAGCAGUAGGAACCAGGCUUCUUAUAUUUUAAUUCCAUCCCAAAUGCAGAUCUGUAAGAAAGGACUGAACCCAUGAUAAAUCUCCUAGAACUCCCAAUUUUCCCGUAUUAGGUUAGCUCAUUCACCUCUUACAACAGGACAUUGUCAAGUAGAAUUUAGGGAGGUGGUUUAGGGCUCAUUUUAUCUGCAAACCCUUUUAAGUCUAAGACUUCUUUUGUCAUAGGUCAGUCAGGAGAUCCUAGAGUUAUUAAAUACAACAACAGCCAAGGAACAGUCCAUUGUUGAAAAGUUUCGCUCACGAGGUCGGGCCCAAGUACAAGAGUUCUGUGACUAUGGAACCAAGGAGGAGUGUAUGAAAGCCAGUGAUGCUGACCGGCCCUGCCGCAAGCUGCACUUCAGACGAAUCAUCAAUAAACACACUGAUGAGUCAUUAGGUGACUGCUCUUUCCUUAACACAUGUUUCCACAUGGAUACCUGCAAAUAUGUUCACUAUGAAAUUGAUGCUUGCAUGGAUUCUGAGGCUCCUGGGAGCAAAGACCAUACACCUAGCCAGGAGCUUGCUCUUACACAGAGUGUUGGAGGUGACUCCAGUGCAGAUCGACUCUUCCCUCCUCAGUGGAUCUGUUGUGAUAUCCGCUACCUGGACGUCAGUAUCUUGGGCAAGUUUGCAGUUGUGAUGGCUGACCCACCCUGGGAUAUUCACAUGGAGCUGCCCUAUGGGACCCUGACAGAUGAUGAGAUGCGCAGGCUCAACAUACCAGUACUGCAGGAUGAUGGCUUUCUCUUCCUCUGGGUCACAGGCAGGGCCAUGGAGUUGGGCAGAGAAUGUCUGAACCUCUGGGGUUAUGAACGGGUAGAUGAAAUUAUCUGGGUGAAGACAAAUCAACUGCAGCGCAUCAUUCGGACAGGCCGUACAGGUCACUGGUUGAACCACGGGAAGGAACACUGCUUGGUUGGUGUCAAAGGAAAUCCCCAAGGCUUCAACCAGGGUCUGGAUUGCGAUGUGAUCGUAGCUGAGGUAUGUGCUUCCCCAGGCAUCCAAACCUUCCACAUUAUUCAAGUCAGGUUCGUUCUACCAGUCAUAAACCAGAUGAAAUCUAUGGCAUGAUUGAGAGACUAUCCCCUGGCACUCGCAAGAUUGAGUUAUUUGGACGACCACACAAUGUGCAGCCCAACUGGAUCACCCUUGGAAACCAACUGGAUGGGAUCCACCUACUAGACCCAGAUGUGGUUGCCCGGUUCAAGCAAAGGUAUCCAGAUGGUAUCAUCUCUAAACCUAAAAAUCUGUAGAAGCACUUCCUUACAGAGCUAAGCACCUACAGCCAUGGCUCUGUAGGCUGCACCUGAAGAGUAAUAUUUGUACAAUAGUUUUUCUUCCUUAUUUAAAUAAAAGUUUGUAUUGUAGUUGGGA